Molecule: ribosomal RNA, 274 nt
Filed under: uncultured bacterium
Lineage: Bacteria
Description: partial 16S ribosomal RNA
Rfam family: Bacterial small subunit ribosomal RNA
Source: RNAcentral
AUACGAAGGGGGCUAGCGUUGUUCGGAAUUACUGGGCGUAAAGCGCGCGUAGGCGGAUUGGUCAGUUAGGGGUGAAAUCCCAGGGCUUAACCCUGGAACUGCCUCUAAUACUGCCAGUCUUGAGUUCGGGAGAGGUGAGUGGAAUUCCUAGUGUAGAGGUGAAAUUCGUAGAUAUUAGGAAGAGCACCAGUGGCGAAGGCGGCUCACUGGCCCGAUACUGACGCUGAGGCGCGAAAGCGUGGGGAGCAAACAGGAUUAGAAACCCCAGUAGUCC